Molecule: long non-coding RNA, 5165 nt
Organism: Amphiprion ocellaris (clown anemonefish)
Lineage: Eukaryota; Metazoa; Chordata; Actinopteri; Pomacentridae
Exons: 5
Source: RefSeq, a predicted model, not a curated record
CAGAGAGCAGUGAUUGGUCAGACCAUAGAUAAUAUAGAAGACAGCACGCUAACGUCUCUAGUAUUCUGUUUCUAUGGUCGGCACGUCUGGUGGCAUCUCUGGCUGCUGUUGAUCUUGUUUUUGGAGUAAAACACGGUGGAAGCUGAAUUAGUGAGGAUGACUCCUGCUCCUGUCAUCUCUAAGCUCCUCACACAUCUUUACCUGCACAUGAGGAAAAUCACUCCUGUAGAAUGCAGAUGUUCAGAGGGAGAUGAUGCCACAUCUGGUCCAGCUGAUGGAAGGUCUUGAAGUUCUCUGACUGGCCUCGACUGAAGAUGGUCGUCUCACUGGAUUUAAGGUUCAGAUGCUCAGUAACAAACUCCACCAAUGAGCCAACAGGGAAGCUUUAGGUUUAUUAAAUGUUGCUAUGAAGGUUUCGCUGUUUUUCUUUGUGAAUGCAAUGUGCUCCAACUGAAACUUGAAUUAGAACUUAGAAGUAAAUCCUUCCAUCUGAAAGGAUUUAGUUGCAUUAAUAACCUCAUAACAUUCUAAUUUUUCUUCCAGUCUUAGUUGGAAAUAGAAUCUCUGUAUUGAUUCAGGUAAAAACUGAACUUCACAGCAUGUUGGAGCAAAACAACCAGAUGAAAACUGUGAUGGUGUUGGAUUGUCAGACCGUAAUGUUGCAGCUCAAAGCAGCUUUUCUAGCUCAGUUCAUUCUGACAUUCAGCUAUGAAUCAACACAGCAGAUGGUGAUCCAUGCUGUGGAAGUCUCACAUCUCCUGAUUUAAUGGAGCUGCUUUGCACUUUUUACACUGUUUAUUCACCAACACUUUAUUUAAUAAAAGUCCCAUCUAGUUUUUAUGAGGAAUGUGAUGUUUUAAUUUCUCUGUGAAUAACUGCAGUCUAAUGCAACAGCUGGAGUUGUAACAUCUGUCCUGAUAUUGAUCAUGAAGUAUUGAUCAGAAUACUUAUGGUCAGCAUUCAUCCCUGAAGUUUUACAUUAAAACCUUUACUUGUGUUGUGAAGUUUGGUAAGAAGCAGAAAUGUUAGCGUUGCCAUGGAUACAUGAGUGUUAAAUUCUGUCCAUGUUUCCAUUUUGGGAAAUGCAGUCCAGUUCCAGAAUGUGGAGGAAUUUAGUCUCACAGACAACAAAUAUUAUCUGAAAGUCGGGUUAUUGUUGUUUAUCAGCACAAUACAAAAAGAUUAAUGUUAGAAAUAUUCCAGUUAAGACUCUAGAAUAUCAUGAUUUAUGGAAAUUUACCUCAAUAAUAUGAAUGUUCAGGUUAAGAUUGUACAGUGAUAUUUAUUAUGCAAGUUUAGCUGAUUAAAGUUUAUGACUCUGCACUAAAAUAUUAUUUAAAUUGACAUCAUUAUUAUAUUUAGGGUCAGACCCUACAGUAUUGAGAUUAAGAAAUCAAAUAUUCUAUAAAAUGUAAAUACACUGAACUCAUUUGGAUAUAUUUAAGUGAGACUCUACAAUAUUAUUUGACACAAAUCUAACUAAAUCCAAAUUUUAAUCAUUUUUACCCCAAACAUUUACUGGACUGAUUUAAAUAUUAAAAUCACUCCUUUCUAAUCCUCUGCUGUACGUUCAAACCUGAGGCCUUAAAUAGAAACACACAAGUAUCUGAUUGAAGGAACUUCUGCAGAGUCCUGGUUCUAGAACAUGAUGAUAGAAUUAUAGCCAAACUUUAACAAAAGCUGCCUGAGAGUUUACAGAUUUUUAUGUUGGAUUUCUUCAGUAAAUUUAAUGAGUUAUCAGCAAUAAUCAAGUGUUCAUUUGAUGAACUUCAUUUCCUAAAACAUCCAGAAUUGGAGCUCAUAUCUUUGGCAGCUGUAAAGUUUCUGCUCCUUCAAAGUUCACAACACAAUGAAUGAAUUCCUAAAACACUCUCAGUGCUGGAGAGCGUUUGUGAUGCUGAAGCAGUGACCAGUUUUUCUGUUUCUUCUCUGGAGAUGCACAAUGAGGGACGUCUGCAGCGACUGAGAAAGAGUCUCACCACAUCCUGACAUGAGGAAAAAGACUUAAUUGAAGACUACAAUGAGAAAAACUAUCAGACAGCAGACGGCUGCAUUCAAGAAAGGAAGACCAUCAAACAUCCACGUCAGCUGAUGGAGGACCAAGAGUCUCACCUAACAACCAACCUACAGAGUGAAGACCUCGAAUCUGAUUGGACGGCCUCCUAUUCAGCCACAUGCUACAGGAGGAGCCCUAUGAGGACGAGCCGGUCCACCUGAUGGCGGCCAGUCGCUGCGGUUCAAAGCCAACACCGACUACGUGGACUUCUACUGGACCACACGGAGGCCUUCAAACCGGACCAACAAGUUCACCGACUCCCCGACUCGUGGGUCUGAGGACGCCGCCGAGCCUCGGCCCAGCCGGCCUCCUGUCUGUGGGUGUUUGAGUGCUGAGAGGUUUGUGGAUGCAUGUGAACAUGUCUGUGUUGAAACAGCAGCUUUUCACUCAGUAACGCCGGGAAAAACCAAGAGCUCCUUUAUUUGUGACUUCCACUAAAAAAACUGAUGAAAAUAAGUUUGCCAGGGUUCUGACUAAUAACAGAUUAUUAAAUAAUGAAAAUAAUCGUUUAAAUAUUCUUUUAAACAAUCCUUUUAGGUCUGCAUUUCCUUUACACUGACUUCUUGGUAUAUGUACAAGUAUUUUGGGUGGAAUAUACCAUUAAGCCCGAUGUUCGAGGGUUCUUCUGGGAAUAUACCAUCAGAUCAACCUUUUAGGUCUACAUUGGAAGAUUUUAGAGUAGAAUAUUACUCCAAACCAUCCUUUAGGUCUACAUUUAAGGUGGAAUACUCCUUUACACCAAGAUUUUUUGGUCUACAUUGAAAGAUUUUAGGUGAAAUAUUCCUUUGAACGAACUUUUUAAGUGUAUGUUCAAGGAUGUUUGGUGGAAUAUACCAUCAGACCAACCUCCAAGUUCUACAGUAGUGAAUUUUAGAUGGAAUAUACCAUUAAACUCACCUUUUAGGUCUACAUUGGAGGAUUUUAGGUGGAAUUUUCUUCCAAACCCUCUUUUAGUCUACAUUUAAGGAUGUUUAGGAUGGUAUAUUCUUCCGAACCAACUUCUCAGGUCUACAUUUCAGGUGGAAUAUUCCUCCAUACUAGCUUUUUUGGUCUACAUUGAAGGAUUUUUUCUAAACCACCCUUUCAGGUCUAUAUUUGGGGUUUUAGGUGGAACAUUCCUUUUAACCAGCCGCUCAGGUCUCUUUGAGGGUUUUGGAUGGAAUACUCGAUUAAACCAACAUUUUAGGUGCAUGUCCAAGGAUUUCUGGUGGAAUAUUCCUUUAAGGUGGAUGUUUGAGGACCUUGUAGGUGGAAUACUUCCUGAAACCAACCUUUUAGGUCAACAUUCAAAGAUUUAAGGUGAAAUAUUCCUUUAAACCAACCUAAAUUUCAUGUUUUGAUCAUUAUCAAGUGAGAAACCUCAAUCCAGACUCCUCAUAAUGAUGUUUGAGAUUUAUGCUGCUGUUAUUUGUUUAGACUAAAUGACAGAAAUCCACAACUGUAAUUUUAUUUCAGGACUCGGUUAUUAAAUGUCAAAACAAUCCAUGUGACUCUAAAAACUCAACAGCUUUACAAAGUCUAAGAUUAAACUCUCCACAAGGAUCCAAAAUAAGUUGGACUUCUACAUGAGAGCUUUAAUUAUUCUUCAUCUACUUCCUGAAAAGUUUGGUCAAUAAAAAAGACAAAAACUAAUAUUUUCAGCUGAACUAACGACAGACUUUGUGAUUUUUCUGCUCACAUGUUGUGUUGUUGUAAACUUCCUCUUUCAAAUAAAUAGCCACCUAACCCCCUGGAAACCAGCGUUUGUCCUGUUUUUGUGUUGCUCCUCGGCGACCCUAGACAGCCGGGUCCUAAUGUUUUUUGAGCAACACACCAUACUAUGACGUUUUUACAAUGAUGGUUCUACUAUGAAGCCAGUUUGACAUGUUCAGGUGUUCUUUGUGUGAAAACUCAGAGAUUUCAGGUAUCAGAAGGUGGUUUUCAACUUUCUUUGUUAACUUUCUGCUUCAACUUUAAACUAAAUUUCCUUCACUAACCCAGCCCUCUGGACUUCCAGUAAGCUGUGUUCCUAUUGGCUGUCCAGGUGGCUGCUUGGUAUUAUCAGGAACACCUGAGCAGCUCAGUGUCUUCCUGCUUUAUUUAGCUGCAGACAAACAUUUCCUCUGCUUUUAUUCACCACUGAACCGGGUUUGGCUCCAUUGCUUUAGUUUGUUCUUUAGGCGUUGGCUUGCAGCUUCCAGCAGUAAAAUCGUCUUUAAUGUGUUUCUUGGUGUGUUUUAGGGCUUUGUACUGGAUAGUUGUCUUGGUAAAUGUGGUUCUUUAGCCACAGUUAGCACAUGGUCCUAAUGUGUGCAGUGAUUAGUGGAUUUUGUACAGCUGAGUUGUGUCUUUAUCUUGGCUGUAGUCAGUCUUUAGAGGUUUUUGGUCAGACACAUUCUGUAUUCUUGUUUGUGAACCAACGUUGGUUGUCCAGAAGGUAAGAGUUCCUGUCCUGAUUCUCUGUUCUCAGAGGUUCUCUGGUAGGCUGCAGGAGACUUUAGCGUUUGGGUUGUACUAGUUUGGUUUUUGUACGGUUUCAUUUGGACGACUAUCUUGAGGCCCCUCCAUGUGGUUUAGUGAGGUUUUCUGCAACAGUUCUACAAAGCAACCUGCAGCAGAAGAGACUUUGAGAGUUUUUAGGAAGUUCUGGAGACCAGACUUUAGAGCAGCAGAAACAUUUGUCUGCAGUUUGAGCAGGAGAAGGUGAGCUUCAGAGUAGAAAUGAGAUGGAAACCUUCUUGACCUGUGUGGUGAGGUCCUGUACCAAGAGUUUGAGCAAGUUGUGAAGAGUCUGUAGUUCUUUGGUCUGAAAGCACAAGAAGAGUCGACUCAUUAAAGGAGAAAACAGGAGAUAUUGUUGGUUCUUCUGUCGCUCUGCAGUUUCCAGUUUCCUUAGACUGAAUAUCAAGUUUAUAUUUUAAAUGAUUUCCCAUGUGAGCCCAAGAAGACUUCAAUAAACUCCCUCCAUCCCCUGGACACAACAUAUUUUAUUACCAUGUUAAAUCUUUUUUUUUUUUUUUUUUUUUUAAUGUUUUUGAGUUUUAAUCAUAGUUUUAGAAUAGUUUUUUCUCUUUGCUUGUUUAGUUUUGUCAUCUGUGUAAAAGGUGCUAAACAAAUAAAGUUGAAUUGA